Molecule: long non-coding RNA, 462 nt
Organism: Salvia splendens (bonfire salvia)
Lineage: Eukaryota; Viridiplantae; Streptophyta; Magnoliopsida; Lamiales; Lamiaceae
Exons: 3
Source: RefSeq, a predicted model, not a curated record
GUUAUGAAGUAGAAACAGUUUGUAAGAAAGUAGAUAAAGAUUCUAGCAGGCGAGGAGAGCUGCUGUUCCUGCUCUUGCUCCCUCGCAUUCAAAGCCGUCGCCUUUUUGUGCUUCUGUUAAUGGGUUUUCGACCAAAUUCUCAGAGGCCCCUUGAAGUGAAUCAAGUCUAAUUCUUUUGCAAACCAAGACAUGUGGGCAUCUUCUGAUGUCUUGUGGGGAACCAGAAUUCAAUAUUCUGUGCUGCCAUUUUCGCCAAGCCAGCAAUGUAGAAAAUGUACGGGGAAGUCCAAACCUCGUUACAGGAGAAAGCCGGUAUUUCAGUCAUGGAUGGGGAAUAGAUCUCGACGGUUCCUCCUGCCUGCUUUACCAAGAGUGGUUUCACAGAUGAUGAGAAGAUUGCAAGAUGCUCUGCAAGUUACUACUUGGCGUGCAACUUGUUCUUCGGUGAUUGCCAUAUCUCUC